RNAcentral lists this ribosomal RNA (616 nucleotides) under Cortinarius cf. vanduzerensis F15962. RNAcentral describes it as "eukaryotic LSU rRNA". It matches the Rfam family "Eukaryotic large subunit ribosomal RNA", at positions 1 to 616 of the family's 3401-position model. The record is from RNAcentral. Lineage: Eukaryota; Fungi; Basidiomycota; Agaricomycetes; Agaricales; Cortinariaceae.
GUGACCUCAAAUCAGGUAGGACUACCCGCUGAACUUAAGCAUAUCAAUAAGCGGAGGAAAAGAAACUAACAAGGAUUCCCCUAGUAACUGCGAGUGAAGCGGGAAAAGCUCAAAUUUAAAAUCUGUCAGUCUUUGGCUGUCCGAGUUGUAAUCUAGAGAAGUGUUGUCGGCGCUGGACCGUGUACAAGUCUCCUGGAAUGGAGCGUCAUAGAGGGUGAGAAUCCCGUCUUUGACACGGACUGCCAGGGCUUUGUGAUGCGCUCUCGAAGAGUCGAGUUGUUUGGGAAUGCAGCUCAAAAUGGGUGGUAAAUUCCAUCUAAAGCUAAAUAUUGGCGAGAGACCGAUAGCGAACAAGUACCGUGAGGGAAAGAUGAAAAGAACUUUGGAAAGAGAGUUAAACAGUACGUGAAAUUGCUGAAAGGGAAACGCUUGAAGUCAGUCAUGUUGUCCAGGGAUCAACCUUGCUUUUGCUUGGUGUACUUUCUGGUUGACGGGUCAGCAUCAAUUUUGACCAUUGGAAAAAGAUUGAGGGAAUGUGGCAUUCUUGGAUGUGUUAUAGCCCUUGGUUGCAUACAAUGGUUGAGAUUGAGGAACUCAGCAUGCCGCAAGGCCGGGU